This 750-nucleotide ribosomal RNA is filed under the name Acinetobacter sp. Its description in RNAcentral is "bacterial SSU rRNA". It matches the Rfam family "Bacterial small subunit ribosomal RNA", at positions 55 to 799 of the family's 1533-position model. The record is from RNAcentral. Lineage: Bacteria; Pseudomonadati; Pseudomonadota; Gammaproteobacteria; Moraxellales; Moraxellaceae.
AUGCAGUCGAGCGGAGAUGAGGUGCUUGCACCUUAUCUUAGCGGCGGACGGGUGAGUAAUGCUUAGGAAUCUGCCUAUUAGUGGGGGACAACAUUCCGAAAGGAAUGCUAAUACCGCAUACGCCCUACGGGGGAAAGCAGGGGAUCUUCGGACCUUGCGCUAAUAGAUGAGCCUAAGUCGGAUUAGCUAGUUGGUGGGGUAAAGGCCUACCAAGGCGACGAUCUGUAGCGGGUCUGAGAGGAUGAUCCGCCACACUGGGACUGAGACACGGCCCAGACUCCUACGGGAGGCAGCAGUGGGGAAUAUUGGACAAUGGGCGGAAGCCUGAUCCAGCCAUGCCGCGUGUGUGAAGAAGGCCUUUUGGUUGUAAAGCACUUUAAGCGAGGAGGAGGCUACUUAGAUUAAUACUCUAGGAUAGUGGACGUUACUCGCAGAAUAAGCACCGGCUAACUCUGUGCCAGCAGCCGCGGUAAUACAGAGGGUGCGAGCGUUAAUCGGAUUUACUGGGCGUAAAGCGUGCGUAGGCGGCUGAUUAAGUCGGAUGUGAAAUCCCUGAGCUUAACUUAGGAAUUGCAUUCGAUACUGGUCAGCUAGAGUAUGGGAGAGGAUGGUAGAAUUCCAGGUGUAGCGGUGAAAUGCGUAGAGAUCUGGAGGAAUACCGAUGGCGAAAGCAGCCAUCUGGCCUAAUACUGACGGCUGAGGUACGAAAGCAUGGGGAGCAAACAGGAUUAGAUACCCUGGUAGUCCAUG